UUGCUGUCGCGCCGGAGGGGGAAGGGGCUGAGGGCAGCCCGGGGAGUCGGGAAGCGAAAACAGCUACCUUUCUGACACGGGCAGGAGAAGCGUCUCUUGUUGCUCGCUUGGAGAGAGUGAGGGCCCCCGGUCGCUGAGGGCGGGAGGGUGAGGGUCCCCGUUCACUGGGGGUGCCCGUCGCUGAGGGCGGGAGGCCGAGGGCCCCUGUUCGCUGAGGGGCGCCCGUUGCUGAGGGAGGCUGAGGGCGCUCGGGUGUGGGCUGGUGGGACUGGGCCCCGGCCACCUUCCCGUCACACUCCACUUCGCCUUUGCAUGUGUGUGGUAAAAACCUUUCCCUGGGUCAGUCCGUGCUGCCUCAGCCAGGCCCCUCGCCUGCUGACAGUGAGGGCCGGCCUCCUGCGACCACAACGGCAGUUCUCGUGAAGGUGAAGAAACGCAAAGCCCACGCCCCUGUAUUUAGGCCAAUGAACAAGGAUAAUUACAAUGGAACCUGGAUUCUAGACAAGUGUCAAGGCUGUGGAAUAUCGUGUUCUGCUGUUGGAACAGUGUAUGAGGGGCAGUGGAGAAAUGACAUAUUCAAUGAGCAGGGUGCUAUAGUUAAUUGUUCUGGUGACAUCUGUGAUGGACUGUGGAUCAAUGGCUACCCUACUGAUCAGGAAUAAGCUAUAUAAUUCAUGUAUGCAGAGAAAAAAGACAAUGCUGAAGUUUCAGACAGGUCACCUGAAGUACUUGCAGCAGCCUCACACAUUGAUUUUCACCACCGUCUAGUAAUUCCUUCAAACCUACAAUCUUACAUAACAUCCAAAGAAUACAAGCAACAAAAGGAUCAGAAACUCAUAAAGAAUUCUAAGACGUUACAAGGCCAGUGUGUGCUUACGGUCCAUGAAGUGACAGUGUCCUAUUCUUGGGCCAGAAUCUCCCACCUGCCUUCAAAUUCCUGAAUUUUUCCAGAGAAAACAAAAACCAAGAACUUUUUUUUUUAAAGUCAUCAGCAAGUAAAAAGGAUGAAACCCUGCAGCCAGGGCUCUUGUCUAAGGCACACUGAAGUCAAUGGCAUUUUUCCCAUUGAAUGCAGUGGAAGCUGUAUUCGGUCUUUGCAUCCCAGUCACCCUUGUAAGGGUUUUUAUGCAGGAAUGGGGCUUCAGUCUUGAUCAUUUCAUGCAAUUCUCAUUCAUUCAUCUGAUCCAUCAUAAUCUUCUUUUCCUUGAAGUUAUGGACAAAAUUUCACACCAAGGUCCACUAGUUCUCUGUGAAGUCUCUGGUUUGAUGCAGCUGCUUUACACAUGACUCAGUUAACAGUGGUUCUUUGAGCCCUUAUUCUCAUGAGCUGAAUGAAGGAUAAAUGAGCUCAGUUGAAUUACCUAGAGAUGAUAGCCAUUUAUUCUUGAUAACUGGAAGAUAACUUACCUCUGUGAGGUUGUUAACUCUAUCAUCUCCCUGUAAGGAAGGUUUUGUAGUUCUAGAGGUGGAGAAACAGAAACUUGUUUAAAUAUACGAGCAAAGGGGGCAAGGUUUGGAAUGACAUCUGAUUGUGCUGCUUUUGCUGCAGGGAUAUAUUCUGCCUCCUUACUGAGAUGAGACUAUAUGACAAAAGUUUCAGAACACAAACCUCUCUUAUUUAUUGGCUUCCUAGUACUGAUAACCUUGUUAAUUUGUAUUUGAAAGUUAAAUAUAAGAUUGGACUACUUGGCUUGCCAAAUGGAAACCACCAUUAUUUAUUUUCUCAUCCUUUUCUGCUCCUAUACACAAAAUAAAAAGAGACACAUGUGCAACAGAGAAAAGGAGUAAAUAAUGUUCUGUAAUGGUCAGUGAUGAGGGAUAUGUGCUCAGAGGCUGGGAGACAGAUUGUUCCGGAAGCAUGAUAUGACACUGGUUAGUGUUUCUCUAUAAAGCAGUGCUUUUUUGUCUCAGUGGUAGCACAUGGGUGCUGUGGUUGCCAUGGUAAGGUGCAUGUUUUGUUAUGAGUGCUAUAAAUAGUCACAUCAUUGGCCAAAAGCGUAAGUGAAGAUCCUGCUCUGGUCAUGUGUAGUGUGUUUUGAUCAUGGGUCACAAAGAUUUUUGUGGUUAUUUACGUGGUAAAUUAAAUGGGCAUAAAGACAAACAUCUUUGUGUGUUUCUGUGAUGGAAGUUUCUGCCACAUAUAUAGUCAUUCUCUCAUAAUUUGUAAUUUCUUCUGAACUUCCAAUUGUACAUGUGAAUGGUAAUAAUUUUAAGUAUGACUGUGAAUGAGGUUUUGAUAUUGUCUUUCCAACAUUCUGUCUCAGAGACUGUAUCCCUGACCUAAGGAGAAUGAACUGCAGAGUAGAGGUACACAGGCCAGAACUGAAGCUUAGAGUGUAUGAUCUUUGUGCCAUCUGCUGCAGAUGUGCUGCUGUUGACUAAGGCCCUAUAUUUGAGAAGCAAAAGUGGUAGAAAAAGGUAAGAGAUAUCUCCUGUAUUGAGAUGGAAGAGCUUAA
RNA transcript from Colius striatus (speckled mousebird), 2456 nucleotides. It is a transcript of the gene named MORN repeat containing 1, with no coding region annotated. NCBI's taxonomy places the organism in Eukaryota, Metazoa, Chordata, Aves, Coliiformes, Coliidae. The transcript has 6 exons. The record is from RefSeq and is a predicted model, not a curated record.